CUAGACGCAACUGAGCCCCUAUUCAUCAGGUUGACCUUCCCUGCCUUGACUGCGCCCCCGCCUCCCUCCCCACCCCGCCGUGCUCCCUCUCCCUCCCCUCUAUGGUCGUAUGACGCCCGCUGCCGGCGCAACCUCCCUUCACCCCCGCUCGACGUCGCCCUGCCCAUCUGCCUCUCCCAUGGCGCACGGCACCUGCCGCCGGACCCGCCCUUCCGCCAUCUCCUGUAUCGUCGGCGCAACCUCCCUUCGCACCGCUCGCCGUCGGGUUGUCCGGCCCAUGCGCCUCUCCUACGACGCCAGCCUCCAGCCCCGCCAUCUCCUGUGGUGCACGACGCCCGCCGCUGGCCCCGCCCUUCCGCAUCUCCUAUGGCGCGCGCGCCUGUCCGUCGGCCACGCCCGUCCGCCUCUCCUGUGGCACACGACUGUUGCUGUGUACGUCUGGAACAACGCCACAGGGUGGCCCUCCCUCAUCGGUCUUUGCAUCUUCAAUGAUUCAUCCCGGGAGCCAUAUGAUCUGUCAGAUGAUGACACUAAUUUGCAGAAGAAGUUCACACGUCUAAGGGAUCAUGCAGCUGCACUGCGAAACUACUGUAUAAUCCUGACCUUUCUUUCUUUUGUCUUCACAAGGUUGAAAGCGCUCUUGGUUCUGCUGAAAAGCUUGUGAGAGCAUCACCUGAUGAGCUGUUCCACUACUAGGGUGAUCUUGUUCAAGCACUGGUACAUGUUCGUUGUUCUGAUGUCGUGAUAGAAGGUGAGGAAGAUUUUGCGGAAGAAAAGCGACAGAAGGCAUUAGUCGCCUUGCUGGUAACCAGCCCAUUUGAAUCAUUUUUGCUUUGCAUUUUCUUCAGGAUUUGGUACAUGUGUAUUUUCACAUAAUUUUUAACAAACCAAUUCAUAGAUUCGUUGUAUAUGAAUAACCGACCAAACAAAGACCGGUGAUAAUCAGCGUCAUCCCGGACCUAACGAACAUUUUAGUCUGAAUUUAUCUAACACUAUGGGAAUAGGGUAAAUGAUAACCAAAAGUUAGAAAUCUGACAUUAUGAUUGAUCAUACUAUCUGUAAUCCAUACUCUUCUGCUUUAUGGGAGUUAGUCUGUCGAUCAUCAUGACCAACUGAAAAUAAUUAAACCGGUAGAUCCCGACCUCAAAUGGCGCGAGUGCUCUAUGAAAGCUUGGGAUUUACCCCGCUAAUGUACUUGUAUUAGGACGUUCUCUACACGUUCGGAAUAGAUUAUCAAGAAAAUUUAUCUAAAGUCUGAUCAAAUUCAUUUAGAUUCAGUUUAAUUAUAGUGUCUGUUCAUUUUUUACAUUGAUUUUAUCAUAUUAUAAAAUUGUCAUACCGUAUAGUUCUUAAAACUGCAUAUGUUUUCCUGCUGCAAGUGCCACUGUUGUCACAAUGCUGCAAAGAGACGGUGCAUGGAUGCAUUUUUUAACUCUCAUGAGUGCUUGUAGAAGAAGAAUUGUACAAUGCGGAAAGAUGUUAUUUGCAUCUGCAAAGAGGGAUCAUAUUUGUAGAUUGAUUCCAUAAGAAUCAGGAGCAGGAGCUAAUGGACAGUCAGUGAGCCCCAAGGGCGGUGGCCCCUGCAACAUGAAGAAGACCAUCCAGACAAAGGGGAGGUACACGGAUAGCCAAGGAUGCAAGGAGACGUGCAGAGUACAAAUGUUAUGAGAAUUUCAGGAUUUUUGUCAUAUCUCCCAGUUACCUUAAUUUUCGAUGGAGAUUUGCCUGAAUGUUGCUUUCCUCCGCGUGAAGUGCCUAGAAUUCUCGAAGGCGUCAACAAGACCCGAAGGAGAUUGACAAAGUGUAGGCAAGAACGUUGAUCUCAAGUUCAUUGUUGUCUUUUUCUAUCUGAACAUUUUCUUAUUUGGAGUUGCAGUCAAUUUAUGGUGUAUUGUAGUUUGUUUGGUUGCAUCAAUCAAGAGGGCUAAUAUGAUGUAUUGCAGAUUGACAAGGUUUGGUUGCAUCAACGAAUUGAUUUAAGACAAGAUAGCAAUGGGAACCAUUGUCCUAAAGUCAGCUGGAUCAUCAAAGUUCUCUGUGCAGCAAAGCCUGAUAGGCGUGUUGGAUGUUGCUGCAUGUCUCAGCCAACAGAGUGAUGAUACUGCUGUUGGAUCUCCAGCAACAUGCUACCAUAGCUCUUCGGGAAGCAAAAAGCUGAGAAUUGGCAGAUGACCGAUCUCAUGUUGUGAUGUGCUUUAGGUGUGUUGCUCACCGUUCUGGCUGUUUUGUUGUUUCAAACAUCUCAAUUUAGUUUGGUCAUUCGAGAACUAUAGCGUGGUCAAGUGUAUUGACUUUGUCGUUCAGCUCUCCGCUUGAGAUUAUUUUAGUUCUGAUUUACUUUCAUUUACUUUGUUUUGCAAGUAGCAUGUCCUUAGCGUGCCACCGUGUCAGUACAAUGCCAGUUUUUGUGUUUCAUAUAAUGCUUAAUUACAGUUGAUUGUACCUUUAUUUCUAAACAAACAAAAUCAACUGUAAUUUUGUAACUCAAUGCAGAUUGAAUUAUCAUACAUUCUGUAUAAAUGUAAUGCCUAUUAUAUAUUUCUGAAGUGUAUUAA
This is a non-coding RNA of Aegilops tauschii subsp. strangulata, 2555 nucleotides long. Lineage: Eukaryota; Viridiplantae; Streptophyta; Magnoliopsida; Poales; Poaceae. The record is from RefSeq and is a predicted model, not a curated record.